UGAGAAAUGCGUGUUACUUUCUAAAGGGGGGCCAAUAAGAUCUUAUUAGCCCUUCUCCUUUCUUGGAGUGAAAUUAUACUCAAAAAAUAAAAUAGCAACCGAGUCACUCAAAUUUGACUGAAUUUUGCACUCCUAUAGAGUGAAUUCUCUUCCAUGAAUCAUUAAGUGAAUAUUUUUAGUCGAAAUUUCGUUUUGGAGGUUAUACAAAGCGGAGCACGUUGCGAACGAGAACAGAGCAAAUAAUGGAUAGAAAAAGUUCAAGAGUCAAUCGAACACAUGCUGCGCGCAAAAUAAAACGAAUGUAUCACGGAAACCGACAUGAUAUAGAGCAAGAUACAGUAUAUACGAGUACUUCAGCCAAAAAAUUAAUGAACUCGAGAGACAUGGAUGUGAACAUUCAGCGAGAUUACAGUUACUAUAUUAUAAACUUUAUUGCGGUGUUUGCGGCUAUAAGUUUAUAUGUUUGUUGCAAAGAAUGCAAAAAAAUGUUACAUUUAAUGAAAAAGAUUACAGAAACGACUUCUAUCGUGUCCAUCAUUUGACUCUACUCGCGGUACAGGCCUAACUUCGGCGCCAUAUUUUAUUAUGUUAUGGGAACAACAUUAAAAUAUACAAUUUUUUUAAAUCUAU
Molecule: long non-coding RNA, 630 nt
Organism: Odontomachus brunneus
Lineage: Eukaryota; Metazoa; Arthropoda; Insecta; Hymenoptera; Formicidae
Exons: 3
Source: RefSeq, a predicted model, not a curated record